GUGUGUUUUAUUAGAUAUUUGAUAAGGUAAAUGAAUUACAAAUAUGAUAGUCGAUGUGAAUGUUGUAACAUGUGAAUAAAUAUGCAUGAAACUCUAUGAUGUAAACCUGGGAUUAAAGACCAGAUGACCAUAUGUGGUGACUAUGUCUGGGUUAAGACCCGUUGACUUCGUGUGGAGAUUUCAUCUGAGCUAAAGGUCCCGCCG
RNAcentral lists this long non-coding RNA (204 nucleotides) under Gossypium barbadense (sea-island cotton). RNAcentral describes it as "long non-coding RNA (GBAR_LNC000491)". The record is from RNAcentral. Lineage: Eukaryota; Viridiplantae; Streptophyta; Magnoliopsida; Malvales; Malvaceae.